AUUCUCAUAAGCAGUACGUCUUUUUUAAGUGAGACCACAGUUCAGGGACGAUGUUCAGGUGGCAGUCUAGGUUGGGAGAGGGAGGAGGGGUGAGAGAACCUCAGUAGCUGCCAAUCGCUACCGUCCACUGCUGCGCUCUCAUCUUGGGCAGCGGUAUUUACGGUAAAGGAGGGGGCGGGCUGGGGAAUGAGUGGGAGAAUAAAGGGGGGGGGGGGGACCGACGGCGCUGUCCUCUCUCCCUUGGUGUCAGGUGAUCUGGAGCUAGGAGCCGAGCCCAGCCGAGCGGUAUAGCUGCCGCUGCUGCCGCUGCGGGAGGAAAAUGCAAAAUGGCAUAUUGGGGAUGUAAGGGAUUCUGCCACUCGCUUGCUCGGCCCAGACCUACUGCAUCCUCUCUCCGCAGUUCGCGGGCAGCCAUGCGGCUGUAGGUCCCUGCCGGGCUGCCCCCUGGAUACCUCAGCUAAAGGGGUCGUGAUUCGGCAGCACUUGCUGCCAGAGCAGGGGGGUGGGGGUGGGGGGAGCGGCGAGGGAAGGUGUUUCCUCUCGGCUCCCCCCCACCCCGACCCCCCCUCCCCUGCCUCUUCUUCUUCCUCCUCCUCCUCCUCUUCCCCCUCCCCCUCUCCUGCCUCCUCUCCCUCCCCUUCCUUCUCCUCCUCUACCUCCUCCUCCUCCUCUGGUUCCCCACACCCCGUUCCUCAGUGAAACAUGGGACUGUGCUACAGUCUGCGGCCACGGCUCUUCGGGGAUCCCAGCGGCUCCACUUCCAACGCUACGACCUCGGAAUCGGAGCCGCCGCCACCACAGCAGCAGCAGCAGCAGCAGCAGCAACAGCUGCCCCAACAGCAGCCGGACCGCACCGCCCUCCCGACGCUGAGCUCGGGAGAUCUUCGCCGCUCCGGGGACCUGCGGGCAGCGGCUGCAACCAGGGCUGGGGGUGGAGAAGGCGGCAGUGGUAGCAGCGGCAGUGGAGGCUGCGUGGGGGAGGCGGCGGUGUCAACAACUACCGCGGGGUCUCUCCGCAGCAGGGACGUCUCCGGCAAGCAGCUGUGCGCCGGAGACGGAGACGGAGCGCUAGUCCUGCAGAACGGUGGCGGUGGAGGCAGCAGCCCUGGGAAUGGAGCGGCGGAGCGACAGCAGAAGCCGCAGCAGCAGCCCAAGCAGCAGCAGCAGCAGCAAACGAAGCAACAGCAAACGAAGCAGCAGCAAACGAAGCAGCAGCAAACGAAGCAGCAGCAAACGAAGCAGCAGCAGCAGCAGCAACAACAGCAGAAACAGCAGAAACAGCAACAGCAGAAGCAUGGCAAGCAAAAGCAGCAGCCGCUCAAGCAGCACUGGGACAAGCUGCGCGUGGAGGAACGCGAGGCCGAGAGGGAGGCGAAGAAAGUGAGCAAAAGCAUCGACCGGGCGCUCAAGGAGCAGAAGAGGGAGUAUAAACAGACUCACCGACUUCUCCUUCUGGCAGGAUGUCACCACAUGGAGGUGGGAAAAGCAAAAGUAUCUUCCUUCUCAUCAUGGAAAACUACUUACAAAAUACACUUGGAAAAGACUGGAAAGCAUUUUCUCUUAUUUUCUAUCUCAUACAAAGCCUUAACCAAAGCCUUAUUGAAACAUACUAAUGGAGCAGAAAAAUCCAUUUAAAGUAAUUUAGGACUGAUGCAUGGCUUCAUAACUUACCUAAUGGCUCUUUUUUAGAUUUUAUUAUUGUUUCAGAGAAUGUUUAUUUUGUAUAGAUCAAUAAAUGCUAUCUGUAUUUUUUAAAAACCCUUAUC
Molecule: long non-coding RNA, 1766 nt
Organism: Monodelphis domestica (gray short-tailed opossum)
Lineage: Eukaryota; Metazoa; Chordata; Mammalia; Didelphimorphia; Didelphidae
Source: Ensembl